Molecule: long non-coding RNA, 679 nt
Filed under: Anser brachyrhynchus (Pink-footed goose)
Lineage: Eukaryota; Metazoa; Chordata; Aves; Anseriformes; Anatidae
Description: lncRNA (ENSABRG00000014300.1)
Source: RNAcentral
GUAAUAUUAUGCACAUAUUAUUAGUGAGAGUUUAUUCUGUUUCUGCAGUCCUUGAAGUAGUCGUUCUGAACCAAAGAGAACACUGUGAACUUCUUGACGAAAAUAUUUCCCUAAAUGUGAAUGCUUUGAUCCAGCUGCUCUGCCAGCACUGCCUCUGAGCAAGCGAUCCCUCACCCCAAAUACCAAUCUGUUCUCUAAGAGGCACCACGCCAAUGAAGAGGACAAGAGAGGGCCGCUCUGCUGCAAUACUUGGAGAGAGCCAUGGCAGUGGGCACCCUCUCAUCCAAACACCGAUUUUCUCUGGUGGCAUGAGAGAGAACUGAGAGAAGCUGCACAGAGACCACCUGGGAGCUGCUCUUCAAUCUCGGGACUGAUGGAGGGUGAACAAAGAUCCAGGAGACUGGAAAAUGACCUCUCAAGAGCUAUUCCAGCCAUGAUUACCAACCCUGUAAGAAGGGGGAAAAAAAGGGGUUUUGUGAUGAGUGAGCUCUUUUCUGCAGUACCGGGCUGUGACCUAAGAUGCCUUGGUGUCUGUUCUCAGCUCUCCAGCUGGCUCUCUGGGCAGAGGAGGAUUCUUGACCUUGCCAGGACUUAUGCUCAAGAGAAAAGAAGUCCUUGUACAUACUAUAUAUGAUGAUGAUUCCUUCAACGUGUAAAAAGAUAAGAUUAAAAAGAAUCC